This 306-nucleotide long non-coding RNA is filed under the name Brachypodium distachyon (stiff brome). Its description in RNAcentral is "long non-coding RNA (BDIS_LNC000522)". The record is from RNAcentral. Lineage: Eukaryota; Viridiplantae; Streptophyta; Magnoliopsida; Poales; Poaceae.
UGCAUUAGGUGGUGGUGGUUUUGACGACUGUUUUCUUGAUUAUUAAUCCGUCGAUUGCGUCCACGGUGGUUCAUUUUGGCGGAAUACUUUGGUUUCUGUCUUAAUAAAUUGUGGUCAGGUUCGGUUCAAGUUUUGGCGGAGUACGGGAGUGGUAGAGUCAACUAAACUAAGCAUGGAGCAGGUGGCGGAUCUUGGCGUUGGCUCGUGUGGUUAGGAAGUGGAGAUGCAGCGGGCCAUGUUGAAUUUGAAUUGGACGCUUAAAAGUGGAUGCUAAGAUCAAAAUCCUAAUUGUUUAAUUUGUUCAGG